Molecule: transfer RNA, 73 nt
Filed under: Sphaerodactylus townsendi
Lineage: Eukaryota; Metazoa; Chordata; Lepidosauria; Squamata; Sphaerodactylidae
Description: tRNA-Ser
Rfam family: tRNA
About the family: Transfer RNA (tRNA) molecules are approximately 80 nucleotides in length. Their secondary structure includes four short double-helical elements and three loops (D, anti-codon, and T loops). Further hydrogen bonds mediate the characteristic L-shaped molecular structure. tRNAs have two regions of fundamental functional importance: the anti-codon, which is responsible for specific mRNA codon recognition, and the 3' end, to which the tRNAs corresponding amino acid is attached (by aminoacyl-tRNA synthetases). tRNAs cope with the degeneracy of the genetic code in two manners: having more than one tRNA (with a specific anti-codon) for a particular amino acid; and 'wobble' base-pairing, i.e. permitting non-standard base-pairing at the 3rd anti-codon position.
Source: RNAcentral
AGGAUUGUAAGCUCAGUGGUAGAGUGUCAGUUUUGAAGGCAGAAAGUCUGAGGUUCGAUCCUCAGCAUCUCCG